This 1002-nucleotide ribosomal RNA is filed under the name Triticum aestivum (bread wheat). Its description in RNAcentral is "partial small subunit ribosomal RNA". The record is from RNAcentral. Lineage: Eukaryota; Viridiplantae; Streptophyta; Magnoliopsida; Poales; Poaceae.
AUGGACGUCGAGUCCGAGGUCUCGGCGGACGCCGCCGCUGCGGCGACGAACGGGUUGGGUGGCGCGGGGGAGGCUGCCGCUGAGGACGCGGAGGCCGUUGUGGUGACGAACGGCCUGGCUGGCGGUGGGGAGGCCUCCGCCGAGCAGCGCAGCUUGGAGGCGUACGCCGCGCUGUACUCGGGUCGGACCCGCCUGGCGCGCCUCGUGUUCAUCGCGCAGAGAUGCGGGGUGGAGGCGAUCGAGCUCGCGGCGCUGCGGAUGGCGUACGACGAGGCCAAGGCGCGCGAGGACACGGCAUUCUACCGCGAGGCCGCCCUCAGGAUCAACGGCCGCCUCGGCCCUACCCACCUGCUCGACCAGGAUUGGGUCGACUCCGUCAAUCACCGCGCCGAGCAGCGCAAGGAGAAUCUCGAGACCGAACUCGAGGUCUANNNNACCUGCCUGCAUGGCGAGAGCAUCAGAAUAUGCUAUAAUGAUCUCGGUGACUUCUACUAUUCUCAUGGCCGCCUUACUGAAGCCUUCAAAAGCUAUAUCAAGACAGAAGAGUACUUCAGUGCUUCUGAGCAUGUAGUGCAGAUGUGUAUGAAGGCAAUACUGAUCAGCGUUGAAUUAGGUCACAAUGUUCGUGUUCUGAAUUUUGUAAGUAAAGCACAAGGAUGUCAAGAUCCACUGAGUCCUAUUGCCAUUGCUAAGCUGCAAGCAGUUGCAGGAUUAGCGCGUCUUGGUAGAAAGGAGUAUAAACUUGCCGCCCAAGAGUUUCUGGAGACAGGACCUGAACUAGGAAGCAACUAUUCUGAAGUCAUAGCGGCACAAGAUGUAGCUACAUAUGGAUCUCUUUGUGCACUUGCUUUCUUAAAUUACAGUGAUAUCAAGAUGAAAGUUAUUGAGAAUGCUAAAUUUGGAUCUUUUCUGAGCCUUUUCCCUGAAAUUAGGGGGUUGGUCAAUGAUUUUUACUACAGGCAGAGGGGGAUCCUCAUGUUAAUGGUACUGAGGCUGAGCUAA